GACGUAGGGUGCAAGCGUUAAUCGGAAUUACUGGGCGUAAAGCGUGCGCAGGCGGUUGUGCAAGACCGAUGUGAAAUCCCCGGGCUUAACCUGGGAAUGGCAUUGGUGACUGCACGGCUAGAGUGUGUCAGAGGGGGGUAGAAUUCCACGUGUAGCAGUGAAAUGCGUAGAGAUGUGGAGGAAUACCGAUGGCGAAGGCAGCCCCCUGGGAUAACACUGACGCUCAUGCACGAAAGCGUGGGGAGCAAACAGG
This 253-nucleotide ribosomal RNA is filed under the name uncultured bacterium. RNAcentral describes it as "partial 16S ribosomal RNA". It matches the Rfam family "Bacterial small subunit ribosomal RNA", at positions 524 to 776 of the family's 1533-position model. The record is from RNAcentral.